AGGACGAACGCUGGCGGCGUGCUUAACACAUGCAAGUCGAGCGGAAAGGCCCUUCGGGGUACUCGAGCGGCGAACGGGUGAGUAACACGUGAGUAAUCUGCCCCUAGCUCUGGGAUAGCUCCGGGAAACCGGGAUUAAUACCAGAUACGACCACUUUAGACAUCUGCUGUGGUGGAAAGAAUUUCGGCUAGGGAUGAGCUCGCGGCCUAUCAGCUUGUUGGUGAGGUAACGGCUCACCAAGGCGACGACGGGUAGCCGGCCUGAGAGGGCGACCGGCCACACUGGGACUGAGACACGGCCCAGACUCCUACGGGAGGCAGCAGUGGGGAAUAUUGCGCAAUGGGCGAAAGCCUGACGCAGCGACGCCGCGUGGGGGAUGAAGGCCUUCGGUUGUAAACCCUUUCAGCAGGGACGAAGCGAAGUGACGGUACCUGCAGAAGAAGCGCCGGCUAACUACGUGCCAGCAGCCGC
RNAcentral lists this ribosomal RNA (471 nucleotides) under uncultured bacterium. Its description in RNAcentral is "SSU rRNA". It matches the Rfam family "Bacterial small subunit ribosomal RNA", at positions 26 to 518 of the family's 1533-position model. The record is from RNAcentral.